GAAAAGAGAGAUCAAUGGAGUUUUAAAAAGGAGAUUUGGUUAAUUUACCUUCUCUUUCAUUGUCAAACCCUAGCUCAUCCAUCUUUUGCCUCAUAAACCCUAGCAAUCAAGAGUUGUCGUCGCCUGUUCUACCGUCCACUCGCUGGUUUUCUCUACGUCGUCAGUCGGAUCGUCGCUCUCCACUCCGUCUUCCUCUGAAAACAUUAUCGAUCAGCGCGUCGACCACCAUUUGUCGUGUCGAUCUUUGCAUCAGUCGCGCAGGCCACCAUUCGUGAACCACCACCCGAGCGUCACCUCCUUUCAAGCCUUAAGCACACCACCGAGCUUCGUAUUUCGUCAGCCGUCACCGAUCAGCCAUGUCUUCGCGUGAGUCAAGCUGCACGCGUGCCUUAGCCAAGCCUAACUCGAGCUGCACGUAACUCCUUCUAAGUUGUGCGUCCGCAUACGCCGAGCCAUAGCGCAAGCCGACCCCUACCCAAGCGAAUCCCUCUUUCAGUCGAGUCGCACGCGUCUUCUUUCCUCUCUAGCUAAGCUGUUGAGCCGCAAAAACUAUUUUUAGGUCUUUUUCACCUAUUUUUGGACUGGUUAGAUCAAAUUGGGAGUUGGUGCUGUGGAAUUUUUCCUAAAUUAAGGUUGAAUAGGAUUCAACCACAACUUUUGGAUUUCUCUUGGAAAACUUGAUCUUGCUGUCCGGAUUAUACUUUUGGAUUAAGCUAAUCUCUAGGUUAGGUAAUAUUUCUUGUGCGGCAAACAAAGAACGCAGAAGAGAAGAAGACCUACGACUGGAACGAAGAAGAAGAUGAAGAUUGUGAUGGGGGCACACGCAAGG
Cucumis melo (muskmelon) is the source of this 829-nucleotide long non-coding RNA. RefSeq lists it as uncharacterized. The record is from RefSeq and is a predicted model, not a curated record. The transcript is spliced from 4 exons. Lineage: Eukaryota; Viridiplantae; Streptophyta; Magnoliopsida; Cucurbitales; Cucurbitaceae.